RNAcentral lists this small nucleolar RNA (70 nucleotides) under Neogale vison (American mink). RNAcentral describes it as "Neovison vison (American mink) Small nucleolar RNA SNORD82 (ENSNVIG00000003125.1)". It matches the Rfam family "Small nucleolar RNA SNORD82". From Rfam's summary of the family: snoRNA U82 or Z25 is found in both humans and mice. U82/Z25 is a member of the C/D class of snoRNA which contain C (UGAUGA) and D (CUGA) box motifs. Lineage: Eukaryota; Metazoa; Chordata; Mammalia; Carnivora; Mustelidae. The record is from Rfam by way of RNAcentral.
AGCACAAGUGAUGAACAAUAAAGGGACUUAAUACUGAAACCUGAUGUGAUGUUAAUGAUAUCUGAUGUGC